Molecule: RNA transcript, 1454 nt
Organism: Arachis duranensis
Lineage: Eukaryota; Viridiplantae; Streptophyta; Magnoliopsida; Fabales; Fabaceae
Gene name: protein FLX-like 1
Exons: 5
Source: RefSeq, a predicted model, not a curated record
UUAAAUUCUUAUUAUACUAGGAGAUGAAAAAUCCUUCAAAUAUUUGAAAAAUUUCUUAGAAUUUUCUCCCUAAGAAGUAGAGUGAGUUCUCACACUGAAAAUACAUAACCUAUCCAGAAAAGAACAUGGCGGGGCGCAAGCCCAUAGGGUCUUCCCACCCUCGCCUCGACGUCAACCACCGUCUCCCCCACCCUUCCUCCUCCGCCGCCGCACGCGCCCUCCCUAUCGCCGUCCUCGAGGAACGCGUCGAAGCUCGCCACCGUCAGAUCCAGUCCCUCCUCGUUGACAACCAGCGCCUCGCCGCUACCCACGUCGCCCUCAAGCAGGACCUCGCCGCUACACAGCUCGACCUCCGCCGUAUCUCCUCCGUCUCCGCGGAACUCAAGGCUGAACGCGACGCCGAGGUACGCCGGAUCUACGAGAAGUCUCUUAAACUCGACACCGAUGCUCGCGCUGUCGCUGCCAUGUCCGCCGAGCUCGACCAGGUCCGCGCCGAAGCUCGUGAGCUCGCCUCCGCCGGUGAGGAACUCGCCGCGAAGCUCAGCUCUGUCGAGAGUGACCUCGCCAGGGCGCGUGCGGAGGCUCAGGUCGUGCCAGCAAUCAAGGCUGACAUAGAGAUCGUUCGCCGCGAAAUUCAGCGAGGAAGGAAUGCUGUUGAACUCGAGAAGAAGACAUAUGCUGCCAAUCUUGAGCAAAGACGAACAAUAGACAACAACAUGAUUAUUAUGGCCCGUGAAAUUGAGAAGUUGCGUACUGAGCUGGCUAAUGCAGAAAAGAGGGCGAGGGCUGAAAUUACUGAAGCUAGAAACCCAAGUCCUGGAUAUGUUGCAACUCACAAUCCAGAGGUGGGACAUGGAGGAAUGUCAUUUCCUCCUGAUUCAUAUAGCAUGCAUCAGAUUCAACAGGGGGUUGAUGGUCAUCAUCAAUAUGCAUCUGGAACACUACAUCAUCCAUAUGACAUGCAGCAUACACAUGUGCCUAGAUAGCAACCAACAAUGUUUCAUUCUUGAAAGAAGAGAACGGAAACUAUGUAAAGGAAAACUUCAAACAGUGAGGAUAAAAGUAGAAUCAAUGGCAACAAAGCUGACAGCAGGGUUAGUUAGAGGUGGUGGAGUCUGAUGAGGGCGAAGGAGAGGCAGUUGCUGUCGAAAAAGAUAAGUGAUGAGGGAGGGACGGAUCGUUGUUAUUGAAAAAUUUAAAAACACUAGAGCUGCAAACAAAACGGAGAAAGAUUUUAUGGUCGAUUUCAAGAUACCCCAAACUUUAUGGAGCUUACUUCAGUGCCACUAUUCCCAGCCAAUUGUCACGAUUUUGAAUAUACUCUAAUGCAAUCUUGUCAGAAUUUGGAUUUACUCAAAUUCUUGAGUUAAGACCAAGUCAACCUAACCUUCAAUACUUAGCAAGAAAGCUAAGAACACAAGAAAACACAAGAGAAAUAAAAUUCUGGUAGAAAG